RNAcentral lists this ribosomal RNA (516 nucleotides) under uncultured archaeon. RNAcentral describes it as "bacterial SSU rRNA". It matches the Rfam family "Archaeal small subunit ribosomal RNA", at positions 1 to 492 of the family's 1478-position model. The record is from RNAcentral.
UUUCCGGUUGAUCCUGCCGGACCUUGACUGCUAUCGGAUUGAUACUAAGCCAUGCGAGUCAUUGUAGUAAUACAAGGCACGACGGCUCAGUAACGCGUACUCAACCUAACCUAUGGACGGGAAUAACCUCGAGGAAACUUGAGUAUAAUGCCCGAUAGAACAUUAUGCCUGGAAAUGGUUUAUAGUUACCACAAAUGAUUUAUCGCCGUAGAUGGGACUAGCGGCCUAUCAGUUUGUUAGGUGAGGUAAAUGGCCCACCAAGACUAUUACAGCGUAACGGGCUCUGAGACGAGUAGCCCGGGAGAUGGGUACUGAGACACGGCACCCAGGCACCUAUACGGGCGCAGCACGCGAGAAAAACUUUGGCAAUAGUAGCGAAAGCAACGACAAGGUUAAUACCGAAGUGGUUUCUGCUAAAGGAACCUUUAAGUCGGUCCUAGAAACACCGAAUGAAUAAGGGGUGGGCAAGUUCUAGGUGUACAGACCGCACCCGGUAAAACCAGCACCUCAAGUGGU